RNAcentral lists this transfer RNA (71 nucleotides) under Cryptomonas paramaecium. Its description in RNAcentral is "Cryptomonas paramecium tRNA". It matches the Rfam family "tRNA". Rfam says of the family: Transfer RNA (tRNA) molecules are approximately 80 nucleotides in length. Their secondary structure includes four short double-helical elements and three loops (D, anti-codon, and T loops). The record is from RNAcentral. Lineage: Eukaryota; Cryptophyceae; Cryptomonadales; Cryptomonadaceae.
GGGGCAUAGCUUAGUUGGUAGAGCGCUGCCCUUGCACGGCAGAGGCCAGCGGUUCGAGUCCGCUUGCCUCC